GGGGAAGAAUGAUCUCCCUGCUUCUGCUGGCCACACUGUUCCUGAUCCAGGCCAGGAUGCCAUUGGCCUUCUUGGCCACCAGGGCACACUGCUGGCUCCUGUUCAGCUGGCUGUCAACCAUUACCCCCAGGUCUCUUUCUGCCUGGGCACCGUCCAGCCACACCAUUCCCAGCCUAUAACAUUUCAGGGGGUUAUUGUGGGCAAAAUGCAGGACUUGGCCCUUGGACUUACUAAACUUCAUCUUACUGGACUCUGCCCAUCCAUCCAACCAUUCCAUGUCUUGUGGUACUUUGAUGUUCAGCUGCUGUUUUAAUAUAAAAGUUAGAGUUUCUAUGUUAGUUAGUUAUAAUGGUUUCUCCCAUAUACCCCAUUCUGCUCCCUCAAAUGGUUUAGCCCUAAGUUGUUUACUUCAAAGUUUUCCCGCCGCUUGUCUGUUCUUCACUGUGUCAGUCUCCUUGCUCCUCCCUUCAUUCCCUUAUAUGUCCCUGCCAAUCCUAGUCACCUUGCCCCUUGGCCACUUACUGUUACCACUCCCCUUGUGUUCUAGAAUGUUCCCUGUCAGUUAGCCCUGCUUCGAUGAUUUAUUCAUUUGAAAGGCUUCUCCCCUCCCCUGAGUAUUCGCUAUUGGUUAAGUCAUGUGAUGUUAUCCUCACCCAAGAUCCCCCCAUUGCUCAAGAAUUGUAUUCACCCCUCGUACCUUCCCCUCUUUAGAAAUGCUCGCUGGACCCUGUUUUUUUCAGCAUUUGCUUCUGACCCCCUUCAGGAAAUAAAUUUUCCUUGGAGACUCAGAUCAUCUUUAUUAUGCCUUUUAGAGACUCUAACCUAAUCACAUCAUGGAAGAGCUUGUGACAUCAUACUAGAGUUUAGAUGUAAAAGAAAGAAAAUAAAACUGGAGACUGUUGUUUAAUUUUUCAGUAGUUCUAGUUCUCUAUUAGUUCUAAUCAAAGCAUUUGUUUUAAGGAAAAAAAAAUAAGCUGUUGAUCCAAUGUAUACUUGUGAGAUUAAUUAAAAAUAUUUGUUUGCAAAUUAAA
Molecule: long non-coding RNA, 1031 nt
Organism: Passer domesticus (house sparrow)
Lineage: Eukaryota; Metazoa; Chordata; Aves; Passeriformes; Passeridae
Exons: 2
Source: RefSeq, a predicted model, not a curated record